This 449-nucleotide ribosomal RNA is filed under the name uncultured bacterium. RNAcentral describes it as "partial 16S ribosomal RNA". It matches the Rfam family "Bacterial small subunit ribosomal RNA", at positions 29 to 523 of the family's 1533-position model. The record is from RNAcentral.
AACGAACGCUGGCGGCAUGCCUAAUACAUGCAAGUCGAACGAGAUCUUCGGAUCUAGUGGCGCACGGGUGCGUAACGCGUGGGAAUCUGCCCUUGGGUUCGGAAUAACAUCGGGAAACUGAUGCUAAUACCGGAUGAUGACGUAAGUCCAAAGAUUUAUCGCCCAGGGAUGAGCCCGCGUGAGAUUAGCUUGUUGGUGGGGUAAAGGCCUACCAAGGCGACGAUCUCUAGCUGGUCUGAGAGGAUGAUCAGCCACACUGGGACUGAGACACGGCCCAGACUCCUACGGGAGGCAGCAGCAGGGAAUAUUGGACAAUGGGGGCAACCCUGAUCCAGCAAUGCCGCGUGAGUGAUGAAGGCCUUAGGGUUGUAAAGCUCUUUUACCCGAGAUGAUAAUGACAGUAUCGGGAGAAUAAGCCCCGGCUAACUCCGUGCCAGCCGCCGCCGUAA